This 253-nucleotide ribosomal RNA is filed under the name uncultured bacterium. RNAcentral's name for it is "partial 16S ribosomal RNA". It matches the Rfam family "Bacterial small subunit ribosomal RNA", at positions 524 to 776 of the family's 1533-position model. The record is from RNAcentral.
UACGUAGGGGGCAAGCGUUGUCCGGAUUUAUUGGGCGUAAAGAGCGUGUAGGCAGCCAGACAGGUCAGCUGUGAAAACUCGAGGCUCAACCUCGAGACGUCGGUUGAAACCGUCUGGCUAGAGUCCGGAAGAGGAGAGUGGAAUUCCUGGUGUAGCGGUGAAAUGCGCAGAUAUCAGGAGGAACACCGGUGGCGAAGGCGGGUCUCUGGGCCGAUACUGACGCUGAGGAGCGAAAGCGUGGGGAGCGAACAGG